CGGACAGGACCUCCCACCAUCCUCCUCCCCUCAAUCAAAGAAAAAAACGCAGACCAUUCUCUUCGCAUGCUCCCUGAACGCGCCGCCGUCGCCGGUAGAUCCCAGCCGCCUCCCGCGAUCCCUCUAGCCGCUGACCACCGCCCGGACAUCGCCUCCACCCCCUCUAUCUAUUGCAUGGCUUGGAAGCCUCGAUUCUCCGCCACCCGACGAGCCCUGGACAAGCAGCGCCGCCGCGUGUCUGCUUCCAGCCCCGGCCGGUCGUCCUCUUCCUUCCCCAUCUCUGGCCGAUCGUCCUCGGGAGGAGCUUUCCGUGGCGCAAUAUUGGCGGCGGGGAGGCACGGGGGAAGACCUGUCGGUCGCCUACCCCGAGCUGCUGCUGCUGCCGGCGACCACCGCCCCGAGCUGCUGCUGCUGGCGUCCACGUCCCCCAGAUCCUCCGCCAACACGCACUCCGACCUGUCGCUGCCGGUAGUACAACUUUUGGAGGAAGUCAACGAGCAAUGUCUGUUUGUCAUGUACACAAACUUGCUAAUAUUAUGAAGUUAUGAGCCACAUUUGCGUCGAGGCUCCUGAGCCCAUCAUCGACGAGCCGCUGCUGCUAGACCUGACCAUGCUUACCUGUGCUGGAGCGCAUCAACACUGGCCAUGUACCGCAUUCACGGCGUUAGUUUACCAUGCUGCAACCGCAGCGGUCUGCAAUCUCUGGUUUUGUAAUAGUCACUCUAAAGCAGAGUUAUUCAUGCUCUUCUACAGGUUUCCAUGAUGGAGCAUGAUUUUUACUAGGAAUAAUACUCACUGGGUGUGUAACCUCUGGAGUUAUCCAUGUAGGCGACAAAGUUCAUGGUCUGCGCAACACAGAUAAAGGGAUUCAGAACAUUCAGGAUGGAAAGGUUGUCAAGCUCAUGAAAAAAAGAAAGGCACAAGCAUGACAGUAAUGGAAGCUGCUGGAGCUGGAGAUGUAAUUUCAAUGGCUAGAUUGUCUGGUCCAGCUAUCGGACACAUUGUGCCAAUUCUGGAGGUUUUGACUGCUCUACCAGCAGUUGAGUUGGGACCCUCCCACAAUAUCUAUGACUUUCGGUGUGAAUGAUACAAUACUGAGUGGCCAUGAUGGCGCUCAUCGGUGGAGUGGAUGGGUUGGACCGACCUAUGCAAGUUAUUGGAGCAGUACGCCCGUCAAGUGGCACCUUCUUUUGCUCCAGUCACCUCCGGCAUUGUCUAAGUCCUGUUCUGAUUCCUCUUGCGUGAAUUCUACUCUGAUGUUCAUCCCUAGCUGCAACUUUUAUUUCAGAAUAAAUAGACCCAUUUUGUGUUCUUAAUAGAUGAUGAGUGUAUUACAUUUUUUGAAGGCAAAUAUACAAGUUGUUUUUAGAUGAGUUGUCGGACUACCAUUUAAGGGCACAAGUUUGUCAAAUAUGAUGAUGCUUGUAUUCAGAUGAGUUAUUCUUUAUUUGUGGUCGAUUAUAUUUUUU
Molecule: long non-coding RNA, 1469 nt
Organism: Lolium perenne
Lineage: Eukaryota; Viridiplantae; Streptophyta; Magnoliopsida; Poales; Poaceae
Source: RefSeq, a predicted model, not a curated record